CACACCAAAAACAACUUUCCACGUGAACUGUCUUACGAGAUUCGCGCCGUGACGCGUGUUGACGCUGUGUGUGUUGUGUCUUCUUUCGAGAGGAUAUUGUGAUGCAAACAGUGUUGACCGUGUGGGUCGGCUGAUCGAAGGUCGCUUUGUGCAUUAUUGUAUGGAGCGGCUGACUUAUUCUUUCAAACCCAUUACACAAUACUACUGAUUCAUACUGUGAGGACGAAAGUCUUUGCUUUUACUAGAUAACAACUUUCAGCAGUGGAUGUCUAGGCUCGCACAUCGAUGAAGAACGCUGCGAACUGCGAUACGUAAUGCGAAUUGCAGAAUUCAGUGAGUCAUCGAAAUUUUGAACGCAUAUUGCACUUUCGGGUUAUGCCUGGAAGUAUGUCUGUAUCAGUGUCCGUAAAUCAACCUUGCCUCUCUUUGUCGGUGUAGUCCGGCUUGGAGUGUGCAGAUGUGAAGUGUCUCGCGCUACGUCAGUUUGAUGCUAUGCAAUAAGACUAGGCGCGCGAGUCCUUUGAAAACGACACGAUCUUUCUAUUGCUUUCUGUGGAGCGCGACAAUUGAACGCGGCGGUCUUGGGAUCGCCUGCAGUCGAUAGCGACUUUGGCAGAGACAUAUGGAGGAUACCUCAUUUCGCGGUACGUUAGGCUUCGGCUCGACAAUGUUGCGUAGUGUGUGUGUUUUUCCGUCUUUGCUUUGAGGUGUACUGUUGAUUGUGGGCUUGAACCUGGGUUCUGUGUGUUAGUAGAGUGUGGCUGUCUCUGUGGUUUGCGUCUGCGUGCUAUUUCGGUCCGCACGUAGGUAGGAGGGUUCCAUUUGGGAAACAUUGUCUGCGCACUGGAAAGUGUGUGUGUAUAACACUUGGACCUGAUAUCAGACAAGACUACCCGCU
RNAcentral lists this ribosomal RNA (898 nucleotides) under Globisporangium minor. RNAcentral describes it as "eukaryotic LSU rRNA". The stretch from base 251 to 405 matches the Rfam family "5.8S ribosomal RNA". The record is from RNAcentral. Lineage: Eukaryota; Oomycota; Peronosporomycetes; Pythiales; Pythiaceae.